RNAcentral lists this ribosomal RNA (598 nucleotides) under uncultured bacterium. Its description in RNAcentral is "partial 16S ribosomal RNA". It matches the Rfam family "Bacterial small subunit ribosomal RNA", at positions 338 to 873 of the family's 1533-position model. The record is from RNAcentral.
CCUACGGGAGGCAGCAGUAGGGAAUCUUCGGCAAUGGACGAAAGUCUGACCGAGCAACGCCGCGUGAGUGAAGAAGGUUUUCGGAUCGUAAAACUCUGUUGUUAGAGAAGAACAAGUGGGAGAGUAACUGUUCCCACCUUGACGGUAUCUAACCAGAAAGCCACGGCUAACUACGUGCCAGCAGCCGCGGUAAUACGUAGGUGGCAAGCGUUGUCCGGAUUUAUUGGGCGUAAAGCGAGCGCAGGCGGUUUCUUAAGUCUGAUGUGAAAGCCCUCGGCUCAACCGAGGAAGGUCAUUGGAAACUGGGGAACUUGAAUGCAGAAGAGGAGAGUGGAAUUCCAUGUGUAGCGGUGAAAUGCGUAGAUAUAUGGAGGAACACCAGUGGCGAAGGCGACUCUCUGGUCUGUAAUUGACGCUGAGGCUCGAAAGCGUGGGGAGCAAACAGGAUUAGAUACCCUGGUAGUCCACGCCGUAAACGAUGAGUGCUAAGUGUUGGAGGGUUUCCGCCUUCAGUGCUGCAGUUAACGCAUUAAGCNCNCNCNGGNGNGCGCGAGNGNGANANAGAGUAGNGNGNGAGAGNGCGAGNGCGAGAGGAGAG